GUGGGGAAUAUUGGACAAUGGGCGCAAGCCUGAUCCAGCCAUGCCGCGUGAGUGAUGAAGGCCUUAGGGUUGUAAAGCUCUUUCAGUGGGGAAGAUAAUGACGGUACCCACAGAAGAAGCCCCGGCUAACUUCGUGCCAGCAGCCGCGGUAAUACGAAGGGGGCUAGCGUUGUUCGGAUUUACUGGGCGUAAAGCGCACGUAGGCGGGUCGUUAAGUCGGGGGUGAAAUCCUGGAGCUCAACUCCAGAACUGCCUUCGAUACUGGCGACCUAGAGUCCGGAAGAGGUGAGUGGAACUCCUAGUGUAGAGGUGGAAUUCGUAGAUAUUAGGAAGAACACCAGUGGCGAAGGCGGCUCACUGGUCCGGUACUGACGCUGAGGUGCGAAAGCGUGGGGAGCAAACAGGAUUAGAAACCCUAGUAGUCC
This 425-nucleotide ribosomal RNA is filed under the name uncultured bacterium. Its description in RNAcentral is "bacterial SSU rRNA". It matches the Rfam family "Bacterial small subunit ribosomal RNA", at positions 354 to 796 of the family's 1533-position model. The record is from RNAcentral.